GACGAGCGCUGGCGGCGUGCUUAACACAUGCGAGUCGAACGGAAAGGCCCUGCUUUUGUGGGGUGCUCGAGUGGCGAACGGGUGAGUAACACGUGAGUAACCUGCCCUUGACUUUGGGAUAACUUCAGGAAACUGGGGCUAAUACCGGAUAGGAGCUCCUGCUGCAUGGUGGGGGUUGGAAAGUUUCUGCGGUUGGGGAUGGACUCGCGUCUUAUCAGCUUGUUGGUGGGGUAGUGGCUUACCAAGGCUUUGACGGGUAGCCGGCCUGAGAGGGUGACCGGCCACAUUGGGACUGAGAUACGGCCCAGACUCCUACGGGAGGCAGCAGUGGGGAAUAUUGCACAAUGGGCGGAAGCCUGAUGCAGCAACGCCGCGUGCGGGAUGACGGCCUUCGGGUUGUAAACCGCUUUCGCCUGUGACGAAGCGUGAGUGACGGUAAUGGGUAAAGAAGCACCGGCUAACUACGUG
RNAcentral lists this ribosomal RNA (468 nucleotides) under uncultured bacterium. RNAcentral's name for it is "partial 16S ribosomal RNA". It matches the Rfam family "Bacterial small subunit ribosomal RNA", at positions 28 to 507 of the family's 1533-position model. The record is from RNAcentral.